This is a non-coding RNA of Podarcis lilfordi (Lilford's wall lizard), 74 nucleotides long. The record is from the annotation of a GenBank genome assembly. Lineage: Eukaryota; Metazoa; Chordata; Lepidosauria; Squamata; Lacertidae.
GUCUGGGAUAGCUCACUCAGUAGAGCAUGAGAAUCUUAAUCUCAGGGCAAAAGGUUCGAACCCCAUGUUGGGCA